Long non-coding RNA from Mesocricetus auratus (golden hamster), 1561 nucleotides. RefSeq lists it as uncharacterized. The transcript has 3 exons. The record is from RefSeq and is a predicted model, not a curated record. Lineage: Eukaryota; Metazoa; Chordata; Mammalia; Rodentia; Cricetidae.
GGCUUCUGUGGUUUGAGGAACCAAGACUCCCAGAAGCAGUGGACCAGAACGAAUGAACAUAUAGUUCAUUUAUUUGAACGCUUAUUGAUUCCAUCACUGGGGAGGCUGAGGAAAGAAGGACCACAAAUUCGAGGACAUCCUGGGAUUACACAGGAACACUCAGUCUCAAAAAAUCAUUUCUUGAUCAUAUAUUAGGACUGUGUUUUACAAUGGAGACUCAAAAGCAAAGGUGCAGUUAACUGAACAGAGUAAAUCCUCUAAGCCAAAUCUAUAGAAGGACCCUUUGGACAUUCGCUUUGCCAGAGAAAGCUACCUUUGCCAUCUUCCCAUUGGAGAAUAUGUGACCAUUGUUUCCAAGAUGGACAAGGCACCCCUUUCCCAAAAAACACUGGCUUCUAAACAGACCAGGGGUAGGGAGCGGGGAUCACCGGUAUCUUCAGAGUAGACCCAAACUCAUAUUUAAAAGGAAGGCCUCAUAGUCACAGUGAUGGCUUUUUUCCCAUUUAAUGUCUGCAUCUCCCAUCCUGGAACCCCUGGAAAUGUGCUGUGUUGAGUUCCUGUGAGCAUCGGUGUGGUGGAGAACAAAAUCAAAUUUCCAGAAGUCAGUUAAACCAUGAAGUUAGCAGAGAGAAAAAGUCCAUGGCAACAGCAGAGAGAAGCCCGUAACAGUGCCUGGAAGAUCUGGGGAAACAGAGGUUCACCUCAGAAGGGAACCCUGAAGAACAGACCUUGCAGAUUGCCUUAUGCAGGCACAGAGUGGUUUGUGCGAGAAUGUCUUCUUGCUUUAAAGAUUUUUAAAUCUUUAGUUUAUGUUAUGGGGUGUUUUGUCUGCAUGUACAUCUGUGCACUAUGUCAUACAGUGCCCAAGGAGUCCAGAAGUGGAUGUCACAUCUCCCUGGAACUGGGGUUACGGAAGGUUGUAAGUUAUGGGCGCUGGGAAUCAAACCUGGUGCUCUUAUCCACUGAGCCAUCUCCAUUCAGUCCCUAGGAAACAUUAUCAGUCACAAUUGUUUUACAUGAUCCAGAACUGAAAUACAAUUAUUUAAUCAUUCAGUGACCAUCAAUAAAAGCAGAAAUCAUAAUAAUUUUUAAAUUAAUUUAGUAAAGAAGGCUGUGUCCAGAACUGAUUUGACUUGAAUGCAACAAGUUUAGAGUCCUCCAGUAGUUUGACUUGACCUAAAGAUAAAAGCCUAAAAUUAAGGAGAAAGCACACGGACAGUGUGUUCUUUUAUAUUUCCUCAAUUUGGUUCUCUCAAAGAAGAUUUUUAACAGAAUCUGUGAGGGCUUAGAUUAUUCUUGUGAGCAAGGUAUGACAGGAGUUAGCAAAUGGCAUCCCACUUCCUAUUUAUAUGCUGCUCACAAGGUAAUUUGUUGUUGUUUUAAAUGAUUGAAAAAAUCAAAUGAAGGGCUGGGGAUAUAUUUCUGUGGUAGAGAGUUUGCCUAGCAUGUGCAAGGCACCUAAGUUCAUUUUUAAGCACCACAAUAAGUGUAGAGGUAAAUGGAAGGAGGCAUAUUUUUCAGUAUGUGAAAAUUAUGUGAAUUGAAAUUUCAAUGUUUACAA